Molecule: ribosomal RNA, 506 nt
Filed under: uncultured bacterium
Lineage: Bacteria
Description: partial 16S ribosomal RNA
Rfam family: Bacterial small subunit ribosomal RNA
Source: RNAcentral
AGUGAACGCUGGCGGUAGGCCUAACACAUACAAGUCGAACGGCAGCACAGGAGAGCUUGCUCUCUGGGUGGCGAGUGGCGGACGGGUGAGGAAUACAUCGGAAUCUACUCUGUCGUGGGGGAUAACGUAGGGAAACUUACGCUAAUACCGCAUACGACCUACGGGUGAAAGCAGGGGACCUUCGGGCCUUGCGCGAUUGAAUGAGCCGAUGUCGGAUUAGCUAGUUGGCGGGGUAAAGGCCCACCAAGGCGACGAUCCGUAGCUGGUCUGAGAGGAUGAUCAGCCACAGUGGAACUGAGACACGGUCCAGACUCCUACGGGAGGCAGCAGUGGGGAAUAUUGGACAGUGGGCGAAAGCCUGAUCCAGCCAUACCGCGUGGGUGAAGAAGGCCUUCGGGUUGUAAAGCCCUUUUGUUGGGAAAGAAAUCCAGCUGGCUAAUACCCGGUUGGGAUGACGGUACCCAAAGAAUAAGCACCGGCUAACUUCGUGCCAGCAGCCGCAGUAA